RNAcentral lists this ribosomal RNA (534 nucleotides) under uncultured Actinomycetes bacterium. RNAcentral describes it as "SSU rRNA". It matches the Rfam family "Bacterial small subunit ribosomal RNA", at positions 370 to 915 of the family's 1533-position model. Lineage: Bacteria; Bacillati; Actinomycetota; Actinomycetes. The record is from RNAcentral.
AAGGGGCGGAAGCCUGACGCAGAGACGCCGCGUGGGGGAUGAAGGCCUUCGGGUUGUAAACCCCUUUCAGCAGGGAGGAAGCGAAAGUGACGGUACCUGCAGAAGAAGCGCCGGCUAACUACGUGCCAGCAGCCGCGGUAACACGUAGGGCGCAAGCGUUGUCCGGAAUUAUUGGGCGUAAAGAGCUCGUAGGUGGUCUGUUGCGUCCGCUGUGAAAACUCAGGGCUUAACCCUGAGCCUGCAGUGGAUACGGGCAGACUAGAGGUAGGUAGGGGAGAAUGGAAUUCCUGGUGUAGCGGUGAAAUGCGCAGAUAUCAGGAGGAACACCGGUGGCGAAGGCGGUUCUCUGGGCCUUACCUGACACUGAGGAGCGAAAGCGUGGGGAGCGAACAGGAUUAGAUACCCUGGUAGUCCACGCCGUAAACGUUGGGCGCUAGGUGUGGGAUCCUUCCACGGAUUCCGUGCCGCAGCUAACGCAUUAAGCGCCCCGCCUGGGGAGUACGGCCGCAAGGCUAAAACUCAAAGGAAUUGACG